This 253-nucleotide ribosomal RNA is filed under the name uncultured bacterium. RNAcentral describes it as "partial 16S ribosomal RNA". It matches the Rfam family "Bacterial small subunit ribosomal RNA", at positions 524 to 776 of the family's 1533-position model. The record is from RNAcentral.
UACGUAGGGUGCAAGCGUUGUCCGGAAUUAUUGGGCGUAAAGAGCUCGUAGGCGGUCUGUCGCGUCUGCUGUGAAAACUCGGGGCUUAACCCCGGGCCUGCAGUGGGUACGGGCAGACUAGAGUGCGGUAGGGGAGACUGGAAUUCCUGGUGUAGCGGUGAAAUGCGCAGAUAUCGGGAAGAACACCCGUGGCGAAGGCGGCUCUCUGGGACGGUACUGACGCUGAGGUGCGAAAGCGUGGGGAGCAAACAGG